RNAcentral lists this ribosomal RNA (1442 nucleotides) under Limosilactobacillus equigenerosi. Its description in RNAcentral is "Lactobacillus equigenerosi 16S ribosomal RNA". It matches the Rfam family "Bacterial small subunit ribosomal RNA". The record is from RNAcentral. Lineage: Bacteria; Bacillati; Bacillota; Bacilli; Lactobacillales; Lactobacillaceae.
ACGAGUGGCGGACGGGUGAGUAACACGUAGGUAACCUGCCCAGAAGCGGGGGACAACACUUGGAAACAGGUGCUAAUACCGCAUAACAAUUCAAAUCGCAUGAUUUGAAUUUGAAAGAUGGUUUCGGCUAUCACUUCUGGAUGGACCUGCGGCGCAUUAGCUUGUUGGUGGGGUAACGGCCUACCAAGGCAGUGAUGCGUAGCCGAGUUGAGAGACUGAUCGGCCACAAUGGGACUGAGACACGGCCCAUACUCCUACGGGAGGCAGCAGUAGGGAAUCUUCCACAAUGGGCGCAAGCCUGAUGGAGCAACACCGCGUGAGUGAAGAAGGUUUUCGGAUCGUAAAGCUCUGUUGUUGAAGAAGAACGUGCAUGAGAGUAACUGUUCAUGCAGUGACGGUAUUCAACCAGAAAGUCACGGCUAACUACGUGCCAGCAGCCGCGGUAAUACGUAGGUGGCAAGCGUUAUCCGGAUUUAUUGGGCGUAAAGAGAGUGCAGGCGGUUUCUUAAGUCUGAUGUGAAAGCCUUCGGCUCAACCGAAGAAGUGCAUCGGAAACUGGGAAACUUGAGUACAGAAGAGGGCAGUGGAACUCCAUGUGUAGCGGUGGAAUGCGUAGAUAUAUGGAAGAACACCAGUGGCGAAGGCGGCUGCCUGGUCUGUAACUGACGCUGAGACUCGAAAGCAUGGGUAGCGAACAGGAUUAGAUACCCUGGUAGUCCAUGCCGUAAACGAUGAGUGCUAGGUGUUGGAGGGUUUCCGCCCUUCAGUGCCGGAGCUAACGCAUUAAGCACUCCGCCUGGGGAGUACGACCGCAAGGUUGAAACUCAAAGGAAUUGACGGGGGCCCGCACAAGCGGUGGAGCAUGUGGUUUAAUUCGAAGCUACGCGAAGAACCUUACCAGGUCUUGACAUCUUGCGCCAACCCUAGAGAUAGGGCGUUUCCUUCGGGAACGCAAUGACAGGUGGUGCAUGGUCGUCGUCAGCUCGUGUCGUGAGAUGUUGGGUUAAGUCCCGCAACGAGCGCAACCCUUGUUACUAGUUGCCAGCAUUCAGUUGGGCACUCUAGUGAGACUGCCGGUGACAAACCGGAGGAAGGUGGGGACGACGUCAGAUCAUCAUGCCCCUUAUGACCUGGGCUACACACGUGCUACAAUGGACGGUACAACGAGCAGCGAACUCGCGAGGGCAAGCAAAUCUCUUAAAACCGUUCUCAGUUCGGAUUGCAGGCUGCAACUCGCCUGCAUGAAGUCGGAAUCGCUAGUAAUCGCGGAUCAGCAUGCCGCGGUGAAUACGUUCCCGGGCCUUGUACACACCGCCCGUCACACCAUGAGAGUUUGUAACACCCAAAGUCGGUGGGGUAACCUUUUGGAGCCAGCCGCCUAAGGUGGGACAGAUGAUUAGGGUGAAGUCGUAACAAGGUAGCCGUAGGAGAACCUGCGGUUG